CCUACGGGAGGCAGCAGUGGGGAAUAUUGGACAAUGGGCGAAAGCCUGAUCCAGCCAUGCCGCGUGUGUGAAGAAGGCCUUCGGGUUGUAAAGCACUUUCAGUGGGGAAGAAAGCCUUGGGGCUAAUACCCUCGAGGAAGGACAUCACCCACAGAAGAAGCACCGGCUAACUCCGUGCCAGCAGCCGCGGUAAUACGGAGGGUGCGGGCGUUAAUCGGAAUUACUGGGCGUAAAGCGCGCGUAGGCGGUCUGAUAAGCCGGUUGUGAAAGCCCCGGGCUCAACCUGGGAACGGCAUCCGGAACUGUCAGGCUAGAGUGCAGGAGAGGAAGGUAGAAUUCCCGGUGUAGCGGUGAAAUGCGUAGAUAUCGGGAGGAAUACCAGUGGCGAAGGCGGCCUUCUGGACUGACACUGACGCUGAGGUGCGAAAGCGUGGGUAGCAAACAGGAUUAGAUACCCCGGUAGUC
RNAcentral lists this ribosomal RNA (465 nucleotides) under Vreelandella stevensii. RNAcentral's name for it is "partial 16S ribosomal RNA". It matches the Rfam family "Bacterial small subunit ribosomal RNA", at positions 338 to 795 of the family's 1533-position model. The record is from RNAcentral. Lineage: Bacteria; Pseudomonadati; Pseudomonadota; Gammaproteobacteria; Oceanospirillales; Halomonadaceae.